AUCGUGCGGCUGCACACGCUUUGGGUCCAUGCAUUUCUCUAAUCGAGCUGUAACACUUGCUGCUGCGGUCCAUGGCUCCAUUCCUUGAAGCCCACGAGACCAGGAACCCUUGGAUUGAGAAAAAACCUUCAAUUGGGAGGAUACUUCUUAUCUCAUUUCUAGGGGCCCAUCCGGGAUUUCUCCACAGCAAAAGAUGAUUCUGAACACAUUGAAUAAAGAAUUCUGGCCAUCAUUUCAAUACUGUCUACUUAGCCUUGACUUAACCAUGACAACGGUGUCCUAACUUGUCUUCCCAUAUAC
Molecule: long non-coding RNA, 300 nt
Filed under: Homo sapiens (human)
Lineage: Eukaryota; Metazoa; Chordata; Mammalia; Primates; Hominidae
Description: HSALNT0085132
Source: RNAcentral